This is a long non-coding RNA of Centruroides sculpturatus (bark scorpion), 527 nucleotides long. RefSeq lists it as uncharacterized. The transcript is spliced from 2 exons. NCBI's taxonomy places the organism in Eukaryota, Metazoa, Arthropoda, Arachnida, Scorpiones, Buthidae. The record is from RefSeq and is a predicted model, not a curated record.
UUAUUAGUGAUUAUCUUAAAUUUUUAUUAAUUUCGAAAUUAUAAGUGUAAAUUAAAAAUUUUACUUAAGGAAAUCGAGAUAAUAAAAUACCUGCCAUUUUAUAUCUUUUUAUAAUUAGCAUACAAGUCAGAAUUUUAACAGUAAUAUUUAAAAUCUCAAUCUUUAUAUUAAAUAAUCUAGAUUUUAAGAUGAAUUGAUUAUAAUAUUACAAUUUAGAUGCAAAUUAUUGGAGAAGUAUGAGUAUAAGAAGUGAAAGAAAUAAUCCAGUGUUUUAUGCAUCCAAUUAUGGUGACUAUAACCCAAGAUGGUAUAAAAAUGCUCCUAUAGGAUAUGCAAAUGCACUUAGUGAUAAAAAUGCUGAAGAGAAAAUUCAAGAUCUAAUAAAGUCUAUGAAAAAAGGAUUCCAAAAAGUCACUUCAAUGCUGGAAGAACAUUCUUAAUAGUAGUAAAGAAGCAGUUACGACAUGUUUGUUUAUAAAAAUACAAUAUUUUUAUUAAAAUAUGCAUAUGAUAUAUUUAAAAUUACA